UGCCACUCACUCUCGUCCCUUUAUUUUAUUUUUUGCUUAAUUUUUCUUUUACAAAACUAAUAUAUCUCAAUUAAUCAUUCAUCUAAUUAUUAUUGAGUCUUAGUUGAUUAUUUUGCUUCAAAUUUUAAAUUAAUCAUAUUGUUUGUUUGCAUAAAAGCUUCAAUGAUUUGAGACUUAUAUAGUAUAUAUAACCCAACAUGUAUUAAUUUGGAUAAUAGUUUUGAUAUAUGUGUUACAUGUGCAGCAAGGCUUCAAGCAAGGUGUGAGCGCAAGUGCCAGAUUAGAUGCGGUCCAGGUAACUAACAAACAUUACCCAAUUUUAAUUUAUGAAAACAUAAAUAUAUUUCUUUCUUUUUUUUUAUAAAUAUAUAUAUAUUUUUCAUAUAUUGGUCAACCGUCAACUCUCGUCAACUAGUGCUGAAGAUAGAUUAUGGUUUAAUACAGUUUAUGGAAGGUUUAGUAUCAACAAGGUCUGGGUGGUGUAGUCGGUUAUCACGCUAGUCUCACACACUAGAGGUCCCCAGUUCGAACCUGGGCUCAGACAUUUUUAAAUAUUUUUAUGUAUUUUUUCUUUGUAUUUAAUUUUGCAGAUUCUAUGGUAGAGAAAGGCAUGGAUUGAAUAUUAAUCAAAGAAGCAUUAACUCACUUCACCAACACCUUAUCAACUAUAGUACUUGCAACCUUAGUGUAUGUUUGGUUUCAAUUCUGGAGUAGCCAGAAUUGAUUCUGGACAUGUAGAAUGAAUUCUGACUUGUUUGGUUCCUCAAAAGUAGAAUUGAUUCUGCCUCCAGAAUGGAUUCUACUUGAAGCUAGAAAUUGUAGCUUCUCAUUCUAGAAUUGAUUUUUACACUCAAAUUCUUUGUUCAACUCACUUUUGUAUAAAUAUAUCCAAACAUAAAUCAAUUCUAUCAAACUCAAUUCUAUUAAAAUCAAUUAUGUCAAACUCAAUUCUGUCAAAAUCAAUUCUGUCCACCGCAAAACCAAACACAUACUUAGUUAUCAUUGAAAUAAAUAUUCUUAACUACCUUAUCAAUAAUUUUCAAAUUUGUUCGUUGUUGUAGUAGUAUCUUUAAAAUAAACUUGUACUAUUAGUGCAGAGUUUUUUAAGAUCAAAUUUGUUCAUGUACCAUGAGGAUAGACAUGUUUUGUGAUGACUGUCCAUAAAAAAAGUUUGUAAUGUGAAUGAAUAUUGAUAUCCAUAAUUUUUGUUUGUCAUAUAGUCUAGUGAUUAUAAAAUUUACUUUAAAUUUGAAUAAGUGAAGUGUUCGUGGUUUGAACCCCGAUUCUUACAUAUAUAGUGCGAUGUCUUUGUCAACUGAAAUAAAU
Molecule: long non-coding RNA, 1326 nt
Filed under: Trifolium pratense (red clover)
Lineage: Eukaryota; Viridiplantae; Streptophyta; Magnoliopsida; Fabales; Fabaceae
Description: long non-coding RNA (TPRA_LNC000981)
Rfam family: tRNA (bases 471-544)
Source: RNAcentral